GACGAACGCUGGCGGCGUGCCUAACACAUGCAAGUCGAACGGAGAAUUUCAAUAAGCUUGCUUAGCGAAAUUUUUAGUGGCGGACGGGUGAGUAACGCGUGGGUAACCUACCCAUAAACCCGGGACAACCCUUGGAAACGAGGGCUAAUACCGGAUAAUCUUUCUGCUUGGCAUCAAGUGUUAAGAAAAGGUGGCCUCUGUAUAUGCUACCGAUUAUGGAUGGACCCGCGUCUGAUUAGCUAGUUGGUGGGGUAAAGGCCUACCAAGGCGACGAUCAGUAGCCGGCCUGAGAGGGUGAACGGCCACACUGGGACUGAGACACGGCCCAGACUCCUACGGGAGGCAGCAGUGGGGAAUCUUCCGCAAUGGACGAAAGUCUGACGGAGCAACGCCGCGUGUAUGAUGAAGGUCUUCGGAUUGUAAAGUACUGUCUUUGGGGAAGAAUGACUGAUUUGAAAAUAUUGAGUCAGUAUGACGGUACCCAAGGAGGAAGCCCCGGCUAACUACGUGCCAGCAGCCGCGGUAACAC
This 529-nucleotide ribosomal RNA is filed under the name uncultured bacterium. Its description in RNAcentral is "bacterial SSU rRNA". It matches the Rfam family "Bacterial small subunit ribosomal RNA", at positions 28 to 526 of the family's 1533-position model. The record is from RNAcentral.